This 388-nucleotide ribosomal RNA is filed under the name uncultured soil bacterium. RNAcentral's name for it is "bacterial SSU rRNA". It matches the Rfam family "Bacterial small subunit ribosomal RNA", at positions 26 to 406 of the family's 1533-position model. The record is from RNAcentral.
AGAUUGAACGCUGGCGGCAUGCCUUACACAUGCAAGUCGAACGGCAGCACGGGGGCAACCCUGGUGGCGAGUGGCGAACGGGUGAGUAAUGCAUCGGAACGUAUCUUUAAGUGGGGGGAUAACGCAUCGAAAGAUGCGCUAAUACCGCAUAAUCUCUGAGGAGAAAAGCAGGGGGAUCGCAAGACCUUGCGUCUUUUGGAGCGGCCGAUGUCUGAUUAGCUAGUUGGGUGGGGUAAAGGUCUUACCGAAGGCUUCGAGUCAGUAGCUGGUCUGAGAGGACGACCAACACACUGGGACUGAGACACGGCCCAGACUCCGUACGGGAGGCAGCGAGUGGGAAUUUUGGGACAAGUGGGACGAAAGCCGUACGACCCGAGACCGAACGCCG